ACCCGCUGAACUUAAGCAUAUCAAUAAGCGGAGGAAAAGAAACCAACAGGGAUUGCCUUAGUAACGGCGAGUGAAGCGGCAACAGCUCAAAUUUGAAAUCUGGCCCUUGGGUCCGAAUUGUAAUUUGUAGAGGAUGAUUUUGGUGCGGUAUCUUCCGAGUUCCUUGGAACAGGACGCCUUAGAGGGUGAGAGCCCCGUACGGUUGAAUGCCUAGCCUCUGUAAAUCUCCUUCGACGAGUCGAGUAGUUUGGGAAUGCUGCUCUAAAUGGGAGGUAAAUUUCUUCUAAAGCUAAAUAUUGGCCAGAGACCGAUAGCGCACAAGUAGAGUGAUCGAAAGAUGAAAAGCACUUUGAAAAGAGGGUUAAAUAGCACGUGAAAUUGUUGAAAGGGAAGGAUUUGUGACCAGACUUUUUCUGGGCGGAUCAUCCGGGGUUCUCUCCGGUGCACUUCGCCCAGUAAAGGCCAGCAUCGGUUUUCGGCGUGGGAUAAAAGCAGUAGGAAUGUGGCUCUCUACGGGGAGUGUUAUAGCCUAUUGUAUAAUACCGCGCUGGGGACCGAGGUUCGCGCUUCUGCAAGGAUGCUGGCGUAAUGGUUAUCAAUCACCCGUCUUGAAACACGGACCAAGGAGUCGAACAUUUGUGCGAGUGUUUGGGUGUUAAACCCUCACGCGUAAUGAAAGUGAACGGAGGUGAGAGCCCUUACGGGUGCAUCAUCGACCGAUCCUGAAGUUUUCGGAUGGAUUUGAGUAAGAGCAUAACUGUUCGGACCCGAAAGAUGGUGAACUAUGCGUGGAUAGGGUGAAGCCAGAGGAAACUCUGGUGGAGGCUCGCAGCGGUUCUGACGUGCAAAUCGAUCGUCAAAUCUGCGCAUGGGGGCGAAAGACUAAUCGAACCAUCUAGUAGCUGGUUACCGCCGAAGUUUCCCUCAGGA
Molecule: ribosomal RNA, 930 nt
Filed under: Neopestalotiopsis sp.
Lineage: Eukaryota; Fungi; Ascomycota; Sordariomycetes; Amphisphaeriales; Sporocadaceae
Description: partial large subunit ribosomal RNA
Rfam family: Eukaryotic large subunit ribosomal RNA
Source: RNAcentral